CGGGGUGAGUAACGCGUGGACAACCUGCCUCACACUGGGGGAUAACAGUUAGAAAUGACUGCUAAUACCGCAUGAGCGCACAGUACCGCAUGGUACGGUGUGAAAAACUCCGGUGGUGUGAGAUGGAUCCGCGUCUGAUUAGCCAGUUGGCGGGGUAACGGCCCACCAAAGCGACGAUCAGUAGCCGACCUGAGAGGGUGACCGGCCACAUUGGGACUGAGACACGGCCCAA
This 232-nucleotide ribosomal RNA is filed under the name uncultured bacterium. RNAcentral's name for it is "partial 16S ribosomal RNA". It matches the Rfam family "Bacterial small subunit ribosomal RNA", at positions 104 to 334 of the family's 1533-position model. The record is from RNAcentral.